CAUACAUGGCUUCCACGUGAUGCCCCAACCGCCCAAUCGGCAUAUCUACGCUAAGAACCCUCAUACCAAAGCCAGCACCGAGGCACGGCCCAUACGUUCAUGAAUUAAACAUAAUUAUUCUACCUGCUACCGUCCCCUAUGUAAAAGCCCUAUGGACAACAAACCAUAUAAGCCCCCCUUUCCCCCUUUUGGCAGAUGGACAGCAGCAUCAGCAAAGCAGCAUUCGUGGGCAGCAACAGGAGCGAUAGCAUACAUAUAUGAGGUAAGGUGGGCCUGCUGGCAACACAAGAAAUAGGAUGCCAUAGCAUCUGUCGUGGGGCUACCGUCACGGGGGAUGGGUAAACAUUGAAGUGGUGACCGAGGUGAAGCGGGUUGGUUAUGAGGGCGGGUUUCAGGGUAUCAUGUUGGCCCUUCCCUGCGGCCCCCUAGCCUAAUGCCGUCCUCCCCCUCGGCCCCGCCUAGCCUAACGCCGUCCUCCCCUGCGGCCCCGCCUAGCCUAACGCCGUCCUUCCCUGCGGCCCCCUAACCUAACGCCAUCCUCCCCUGCGGCCCCCUAGCCUAACGCCGUCCUCCCCUGCGGCCCCCUAGCCUAACGCCGUCCUCCCCUGCACCCCACCCCAGCCCAACGCCGUCCUCCCCUGCGGCCCCCUAGCCCACCGCUGUCCUCCCCUGCGCCCCCCUAGCCUAACGCCGUCCUCCCCUGCGGCCCCCUAGCCUAAUGCCGUCCUCCCCUGCGGCCCCCUAGCCUAACGCCGUCCUCCCCUGCGGCACCCCAGCCCAAUGCUGUCCUCCCCUGCGGCCCCCCUAGCCCAACGCCGUCCUCCCCUGCGGCCCCCUAGCCUAAUGCCAUCCUCCCCUGUGGCCCCCCCUAGCCCAACGCCGUCCUCCCCUGUGGCCCCCUAGCCUAACGCCGUCCUCCCCUGCAGACUCCAGCCCAACGCCGUCCUCCCCUGCGGCCCCCUAGCCCACCACUGUCCUCCCCUGCGGCCCCCUAGCCCAAUGCUGUCCUCCCCUGCGGCCCCCUAGCCUAAUGCCGUCCUCCCCUGCGGCCCCCUAGCCUAACGCCGUCCUCCCCUGCGGCCCCCCUAGCCUAACGCCGUCCUCCCCUGCGGCCCCCCAACCCAACGCCGUCCUCCCCUGCACCCCCCUAGCCUAACGCCGUCCUCCCCCUGCGGCCCCCUAGCCCAACGCCGUCCUCCCCUGCGGCCCCCUAGCCUAACGCCGUCCUCCCCUGCGGCCCCCUAGCCCACCACUGUCCUCCCCUGCGGCCCCCUAGCCCAAUGCUGUCCUCCCCUGCGGCCCCCUAGCCCAACGCUGUCCUCCCCUGCGGCCCCCUAGCCUAACGCCGUCCUCCCCUGCGGCCCCCUAGCCUAACGCCGUCCUCCCCUGCGGCCCCCCUAGCCCAACGCCACCCUCCCCUGCGGCCCC
Molecule: long non-coding RNA, 1428 nt
Filed under: Volvox carteri
Lineage: Eukaryota; Viridiplantae; Chlorophyta; Chlorophyceae; Chlamydomonadales; Volvocaceae
Description: long non-coding RNA (VCAR_LNC003000)
Source: RNAcentral